AUACCCGCAGCCCAAGUGGUGGUCGAUUUUAUUGAGUCUAAAACGUUCGUAGCCGGUUCAUUAAAUCCUUGGGUAAAGCGGAUGGCUUAACUAUCCGAAUUCCGGGGAGACUGGUGAACUUGGGACCGGGAGAGGCAAGAGGUACUUUUGGGGUAGGGGUAAAAUCCUGUAAUCCUAAAAGGACCACCGGUGGCGAAGGCGUCUUGCUAGAACGGAUCCGACGGUGAGGGACGAAGCCCUGGGUCGCAAACGGGAUUAGAUACCCCGGUAGUCCAGGGUGUAAACGCUGCAGACUUGGUGUUGGGGACCCUUCGGGAGUGUUCAGUGCCGGAGAGAAGUUGUUAAGCCUGCUGCUUGGGGAGUAUGUCCGCAAGGAUGAAACUUAAAUGAAUUGGCGGGG
RNAcentral lists this ribosomal RNA (400 nucleotides) under uncultured bacterium. Its description in RNAcentral is "partial 16S ribosomal RNA". It matches the Rfam family "Archaeal small subunit ribosomal RNA", at positions 473 to 873 of the family's 1478-position model. The record is from RNAcentral.